Molecule: ribosomal RNA, 468 nt
Filed under: uncultured bacterium
Lineage: Bacteria
Description: partial 16S ribosomal RNA
Rfam family: Bacterial small subunit ribosomal RNA
Source: RNAcentral
GACGAACGCUGGCGGCGUGCUUAACACAUGCAAGUCGAACGGAAAGGCCCUGCUUUUGUGGGGUGCUCGAGUGGCGAACGGGUGAGUAACACGUGAGUAACCUGCCCUUGACUUUGGGAUAACUUCAGGAAACUGGGGCUAAUACCGGAUAGGAGCUCCUGCUGCAUGGGGGGGGUUGGAAAGUUUCGGCGGUUGGGGAUGGACUCGCGGCUUAUCAGCUUGUUGGUGGGGUGGUGGCGUACCAAGGCUUUGACGGGUAGCCGGCCUGAGAGGGUGACCGGCCACAUUGGGACUGAGAUACGGCCCAGACUCCUACGGGAGGCAGCAGUGGGGAAUAUUGCACAAUGGGCGGAAGCCUGAUGCAGCAACGCCGCGUGCGGGAUGACGGCCUUCGGGUUGUAACCCGCUUUCGCCUGUGACGCAGCGUGAGUGACGGUAAUGGGUAAAGAAGCACCGGCUAACUACGUG